RNAcentral lists this ribosomal RNA (311 nucleotides) under marine sediment metagenome. Its description in RNAcentral is "LSU rRNA". It matches the Rfam family "Bacterial large subunit ribosomal RNA", at positions 14 to 304 of the family's 2925-position model. The record is from RNAcentral.
AGGGUGUACGGUGGAUGCCUUGGCACCAGAAGGCGAUGAAGGGCGUGGUUAACUGCGAUAAUCCUUGGGGAGCCGUAAGCAGGCUUUGAUCCAGGGGUGCCCGAAUGGGGAAACCUACCAUAGCAAACCUAUGGUAUCCUUACCUGAAUAAAAUAGGGUAAGGAGGCAAGACGGGGGGAACUGAAACAUCUAAUUACCCCCAGGAAGAGAAAGUAAUAACGAUUCCCUAAGUAGCGGUGAGCGAAAAGGGAAGAGCCUAAACGGUAAUGAGCGUGAUAGUCGGUAGACGUUGCUCAUUACCGGGUCGUGGG